GCAAAACCAUUACCUUUACCUUCUUCAACAACCAAUUACCUUUCAGUUAAUUAUCAUAGGGAUAGUUAGAAGAUACAAAACAUUAUUCCUAUUACAAGGAAUCACACAAGAGUCAGUUCAUUCAUGAGUCUAUACCAGUACCUUACAUGAUACAUGAGUACAUUUACCCAGGAUUACAUGAUACAUGUGUACGUUUACAUAAGUACUUUUAUCUAAAUAUGCUUACAUGAAUACCAUACAUGAGUACUGUUACAUAGAUACAUUAUCCUGUAUUCACUUAACUGGAUACUUGUACCUAGAGUUACGAGGAAGAUUUAUCCGUACCUUCUGUGUAAAUUUUUCCUGCCUAUCCCUAUUCGAUGGGAUGUCUAGACGGGACUAACCAUUCCGGAACCCAGCUGUUAGCACCACUGGGUGAUGAACAUCUACGGAUGUCUAAGGUUAUCACUUAUAAUAGAUAGAUUGAUAUCGGAACUAACCAUUCCUCCAUCCUGCUGUUGCAACAGAGGAUGAGAUGAAAAUCUUCGGAUGAUCAUUAGGUUACCACUUAUAUUAGGAGUCGGCUACGGGACUAACCCUUCCUCCAACCUGUUGCUGCUACAGAGGACAAUUGGACAAUCUUCAGAUGUUCAUUAGGUUAUACAUGUCACUUACUGCGAUGGCGUGUUAGUCCUGGUAACUAGGGAUAACACUUACAUGGUUAUAUUUUUCCUAUUACCUUUAUUUUGUGAUAUAUUCACAUAAACGAUGAGUAAGACUAAUUACUGUUUGUAGUAGUCAAAAAGAAGGAAAAACUAUCAUUUUACUUACAAAAAAUUCAGGUCUUGGUAGAAGACUACAUUGUCAUAACAAAACAUGCGGGUCUUGGUAGAAGACUACAUUUCAUACUAUUAGGAAACAUGGGAAUUUCUAGGGUUUUUUCAUACUUAUAUCAACUGUUCCAUUUUAAGAUUUACAUGACAUUCAUAACACCAAAAACAAGACAAUAACACCUAAAUACUUAUGAAUUCACCAGCUUUAGGCUGAUACUCGCUUUCAAAAUAACUUGUAUUCUCAGGUCAUCGGUUAGAC
Molecule: long non-coding RNA, 1071 nt
Filed under: Lactuca sativa (garden lettuce)
Lineage: Eukaryota; Viridiplantae; Streptophyta; Magnoliopsida; Asterales; Asteraceae
Description: long non-coding RNA (LSAT_LNC008495)
Source: RNAcentral